AUACAAGUUGCUUAUUCCUAACAUGGUAUUAGAGCCUAGGUUUUCUUAGCACGCGCAACUCGUGCUCCUCCCGAUCUAAUCCCUCGCACAGCCGCCACCGAUCCCGUCUAUUCUUCCCUGCCGCCUCGAUCUCUCCCCGCUGCAGCCUCGAUCUGGUCCCCGCUCUCAAAACUCGCGGCGGUUCCCGGUCCAGGCGGCUCCAGACUCGCGCGGCAGGCCCUAGGCGGCAGGCCCAGGCGGCUCCAGUCCCGCGGCAGGCUCCAGCGGCUCUCUCGCUCCACCAAUCGCUGUUGGAUCCCUUCCUGCCCCGCUCCACCAACCACCUC
This 326-nucleotide long non-coding RNA is filed under the name Hordeum vulgare. RNAcentral describes it as "long non-coding RNA (HVUL_LNC019743)". Lineage: Eukaryota; Viridiplantae; Streptophyta; Magnoliopsida; Poales; Poaceae. The record is from RNAcentral.